This 509-nucleotide ribosomal RNA is filed under the name uncultured bacterium. RNAcentral's name for it is "bacterial SSU rRNA". It matches the Rfam family "Bacterial small subunit ribosomal RNA", at positions 26 to 518 of the family's 1533-position model. The record is from RNAcentral.
AGGACGAACGCUGGCGGCGUGCCUAAUACAUGCAAGUCGAGCGAAUGAUAAGGAACUUGCUCCUUUGAUUAGCGGCGGACGGGUGAGUAACACGUGGGUAACCUACCCUAUAGACUGGGAUAACUUCGGGAAACCGGAGCUAAUACCGGAUAAUACUUUUGAACACAUGUUCGAAAGUUGAAAGAUGGUUUCGGCUAUCACUAUAGGAUGGACCCGCGGCGCAUUAGCUAGUUGGUGGGGUAAUGGCUCACCAAGGCAACGAUGCGUAGCCGACCUGAGAGGGUGAUCGGCCACACUGGGACUGAGACACGGCCCAGACUCCUACGGGAGGCAGCAGUAGGGAAUCUUCCACAAUGGACGAAAGUCUGAUGGAGCAACGCCGCGUUGAGUGAAGAAGGAUUUCGGUUCGUAAAACUCUGUUGCAAGGGAAGAACAAGUAGCGUAGUAACUGGCGCUACCUUGACGGUACCUUGUUAGAAAGCCACGGCUAACUACGUGCCAGCCGCUGC